AAUCAACGCUGGCGGCGUGCCUAACACAUGCAAGUCGCACGAGAAAGGGGAGCAAUCCCUGAGUAAAGUGGCGCACGGGUGAGUAACACGUGAAUCAUCUACCUCCGAGUGGGGAAUAACUGAGAGAAAUCUUAGCUAAUACCGCAUAACACUUACGAGUCAAAGCAGCAAUGCGCUUGGAGAGGAGUUCGCGGCCGAUUAGUUAGUUGGCGGGGUAAGGCCCACCAAGACGAUGAUCGGUAUCCGGCCUGAGAGGGCGCACGGACACACUGGAACUGAAACACGGUCCAGACUCCUACGGGAGGCAGCAGUGGGGAAUUUUGCGCAAUGGGGGAAACCCUGACGCAGCAACGCCGCGUGGAGGAUGAAGUAUCUUGGUACGU
Molecule: ribosomal RNA, 383 nt
Filed under: uncultured bacterium
Lineage: Bacteria
Description: bacterial SSU rRNA
Rfam family: Bacterial small subunit ribosomal RNA
Source: RNAcentral